AAACUGGAGAUGGCGACCGGCGCACGGGUGAGUAACACGUAUCCAACCUGCCGAUAACUCGGGGAUAGCCUUUCGAAAGAAAGAUUAAUACCCGAUGGCAUAAUAGAACCGCAUGGUUUGAUUAUUAAAGAAUUUCGGUUAUCGAUGGGGAUGCGUUCCAUUAGGCAGUUGGUGGGGUAACGGCCCACCAAACCUUCGAUGGAUAGGGGUUCUGAGAGGAAGGUCCCCCACAUUGGAACUGAGACACGGUCCAGACUCCUACGGGAGGCAGCAUG
Molecule: ribosomal RNA, 275 nt
Filed under: uncultured bacterium
Lineage: Bacteria
Description: partial 16S ribosomal RNA
Rfam family: Bacterial small subunit ribosomal RNA
Source: RNAcentral